RNAcentral lists this ribosomal RNA (863 nucleotides) under Lactiplantibacillus plantarum. RNAcentral's name for it is "bacterial SSU rRNA". It matches the Rfam family "Bacterial small subunit ribosomal RNA", at positions 66 to 901 of the family's 1533-position model. The record is from RNAcentral. Lineage: Bacteria; Bacillati; Bacillota; Bacilli; Lactobacillales; Lactobacillaceae.
ACGAACUCUGGUAUUGAUUGGUGCUUGCAUCAUGAUUUACAUUUGAGUGAGUGGCGAACUGGUGAGUAACACGUGGGAAACCUGCCCAGAAGCGGGGGAUAACACCUGGAAACAGAUGCUAAUACCGCAUAACAACUUGGACCGCAUGGUCCGAGUUUGAAAGAUGGCUUCGGCUAUCACUUUUGGAUGGUCCCGCGGCGUAUUAGCUAGAUGGUGGGGUAACGGCUCACCAUGGCAAUGAUACGUAGCCGACCUGAGAGGGUAAUCGGCCACAUUGGGACUGAGACACGGCCCAAACUCCUACGGGAGGCAGCAGUAGGGAAUCUUCCACAAUGGACGAAAGUCUGAUGGAGCAACGCCGCGUGAGUGAAGAAGGGUUUCGGCUCGUAAAACUCUGUUGUUAAAGAAGAACAUAUCUGAGAGUAACUGUUCAGGUAUUGACGGUAUUUAACCAGAAAGCCACGGCUAACUACGUGCCAGCAGCCGCGGUAAUACGUAGGUGGCAAGCGUUGUCCGGAUUUAUUGGGCGUAAAGCGAGCGCAGGCGGUUUUUUAAGUCUGAUGUGAAAGCCUUCGGCUCAACCGAAGAAGUGCAUCGGAAACUGGGAAACUUGAGUGCAGAAGAGGACAGUGGAACUCCAUGUGUAGCGGUGAAAUGCGUAGAUAUAUGGAAGAACACCAGUGGCGAAAGGCGGCUGUCUGGUCUGUAACUGACGCUGAGGCUCGAAAGUAUGGGUAGCAACAGGAUUAGAUACCCUGGUAGUCCAUACCGUAACGAUGAUGCUAGUGUUGGAGGGUUUCGCCCUUCAGUGCUGCAGCUACGCAUUAAGCAUCCGCCUGGGGAGUACGCCGCAAGGCUGAACU